This 253-nucleotide ribosomal RNA is filed under the name uncultured bacterium. RNAcentral describes it as "partial 16S ribosomal RNA". It matches the Rfam family "Bacterial small subunit ribosomal RNA", at positions 524 to 776 of the family's 1533-position model. The record is from RNAcentral.
UACGUAGGGUGCGAGCGUUAAUCGGAAUUACUGGGCGUAAAGCGUGCGCAGGCGGCGCGUUAAGACAGGUGUGAAAGCCCCGAGCUUAACUUGGGAAUUGCGCUUGUGACUGGCGUGCUGGAGUGUGGCAGAGGGAGGUGGAAUUCCCAGUGUAGAGGUGAAAUUCGUAGAUAUUGGAAAGAACACCGGUGGCGAAGGCGGCUCACUGGACCGACACUGACGCUGAGGCGCGAAAGCGUGGGGAGCAAACAGG